This 492-nucleotide ribosomal RNA is filed under the name uncultured bacterium. RNAcentral's name for it is "partial 16S ribosomal RNA". It matches the Rfam family "Bacterial small subunit ribosomal RNA", at positions 29 to 507 of the family's 1533-position model. The record is from RNAcentral.
AGUGAACGCUGGCGGUAGGCCUAACACAUGCAAGUCGAACGGCAGCACAGUAAGAGCUUGCUCUUACGGGUGGCGAGUGGCGGACGGGUGAGGAAUACAUCGGACUCUACUUUUUCGUGGGGGAUAACGUAGGGAAACUUACGCUAAUACCGCAUACGACCUACGGGUGAAAGCAGGGGAUCUUCGGACCUUGCGCGAUUGAAUGAGCCGAUGUCGGAUUAGCUAGUUGGCGGGGUAAAGGCCCACCAAGGCGACGAUCCGUAGCUGGUCUGAGAGGAUGAUCAGCCACACUGGAACGGAGACACGGUCCAGACGCCUACGGGGGGCAGCAGUGGGGAAUAUUGGACAAUGGGCGCAAGCCUGAUCCAGCCAUACCGCGUGGGUGAAGAAGGCCUUCGGGUUGUAAAGCCCUUUUGUUGGGAAAGAAAAGCAGCAGGUUAAUACCCCGCUGUUCUGACGGUACCCAAAGAAUAAGCACCGGCUAACUUCGUG